CGGGGGGGCGAAGCGUUGUUCGGAAUUACUGGGCGGUAAAGGGCUCGUAGGCGGCCCACUAAGUCAGAUGUGAAAUCCCCAGGCUCAACCUGGGAACUGCAUCUGAUACUGGUGGGCUUGAAUUCGGGAGAGGGAUGCAGAAUUCCAGGUGUAGCGGUGAAAUGCGUAGAUAUCUGGAGGAAUACCGGUGGCGAAGGCGGCAUCCUGGACCGACAUUGACGCUGAGGAGCGAAAGCUAGGGGAGCAAACGGGAUUAGAUACCCCGGUAGUCCUAGCCCUAAACGAUGAAUGCUUGGUGUAACGGGUAUCGAUCCCUGUUGUGCCGAAGCUAACGCAUUAAGCAUUCCGCCUGGGGAGUACGGUCGCAAGGCCUG
This 374-nucleotide ribosomal RNA is filed under the name uncultured organism. RNAcentral's name for it is "bacterial SSU rRNA". It matches the Rfam family "Bacterial small subunit ribosomal RNA", at positions 526 to 897 of the family's 1533-position model. The record is from RNAcentral.